This 253-nucleotide ribosomal RNA is filed under the name uncultured bacterium. RNAcentral describes it as "partial 16S ribosomal RNA". It matches the Rfam family "Bacterial small subunit ribosomal RNA", at positions 524 to 776 of the family's 1533-position model. The record is from RNAcentral.
UACAGAGGUGGCAAGCGUUGUUCGGAAUUACUGGGCGUAAAGGGCGCGUAGGCGGUCUUUUAAGUCUUGUGUGAAAUCCCUCGGCUUAACCGGGGAACUGCGUCUGAUACUGGAUGGCUUGAGUUCGGGAGAGGGAUGCGGAAUUCCAGGUGUAGCGGUGAAAUGCGUAGAUAUCUGGAGGAACACCGGUGGCGAAGGCGGCAUCCUGGACCGAUACUGACGCUGAGGAGCGAAAGCCAGGGGAGCAAACGGG